Molecule: long non-coding RNA, 733 nt
Filed under: Rattus norvegicus (Norway rat)
Lineage: Eukaryota; Metazoa; Chordata; Mammalia; Rodentia; Muridae
Description: long non-coding RNA NONRATT001100
Source: RNAcentral
ACACAUCUGGGUUGUGUUCUUGGUGAUAAGCCAUCCCAAUCUGCAGAACAGCAGCACUGCCUUCUAGAAAUGCAAAUUAGCCAUUAGGGAUAGUCCAGGAAAUUACCUUGUCAGUUACCUAGAACAGGAUGUGUAUGUGCUUGUGGUCAAAAAAUGUUUAUUUAAAAAUUAACUCGGGGCUGGGGAGAUGACUGUGUGGGAGUGUUUGCCGCAUAGUCAUGAGGACUAACCAGAUUCCUAGUACCCAUGUAAAAUGUGUUCAUUCUGUCAGGAAUGGAGAAAGGCAAGUAGCAAGUCAGGCUGUGAGGAUGGAUGGGUGGCAAGGUCCGGGUGAGAAAUCCUGUCCAUGAGAUAGACAAAUAACAGAUCAAGAAACCUGACAUUGUCUUCUGACCCCUGUGCCUACCCCUCCCGACACACACAUGAGAUACAUGUCACACACACUAGAGUAAAACAUGAAAAAAAAAUUAACUCAUAUGCUCGUUUGCUAGUCUGAUUGCCACAUUAGCUCAUUGACACCAGUCUCCACAGAUCCCAGAGGAAGGUGUUAGAGUCUGUCACCCACAGGGUCCAGGAAUGGGACUUGUCAUGGCGGCCAGGGAAUUCUAGAUAGUGUCCUAAAAAUAGGAGAAAGGGGUUUCCAAGCUAAGGAGGGAGGCAGGCAGGAAGACUUAAAUCUUUCUACCUUCCAUUCAGCACUGGUCCAAAUUCCAAGUAAAAAAAAAUAUUUUAA